RNAcentral lists this unclassified non-coding RNA (353 nucleotides) under soil metagenome. RNAcentral's name for it is "partial contains 5.8S ribosomal RNA, internal transcribed spacer 2, and large subunit ribosomal RNA". The stretch from base 1 to 120 matches the Rfam family "5.8S ribosomal RNA", at positions 35 to 154 of the family's 154-position model. The record is from RNAcentral.
GAUGAAGAACGUAGCGAAAUGCGAUAAGUAAUGUGAAUUGCAGAAUUCAGUGAAUCAUCGAAUCUUUGAACGCACAUUGCGCCCGCCAGUAUUCUGGCGGGCAUGCCUGUUCGAGCGUCAUUACAACCCUCAGGCCCCCGGGCCUGGCGUUGGGGAUCGGCGGAAGCCCCCUGCGGGCACAACGCCGUCCCCCAAAUACAGUGGCGGUCCCGCCGCAGCUUCCAUUGCGUAGUAGCUAACACCUCGCAACUGGAGAGCGGCGCGGCCACGCCGUAAAACACCCAACUUCUGAAUGUUGACCUCGAAUCAGGUAGGAAUACCCGCUGAACUUAAGCAUAUCAAUACGCGGAGGA